GUGCUCGCUUUGGCAGCACAAAUACUAAAAUUGGAACGAUACGGAGAAGAUUAGCAUGGCCCCUGCACAAGGAUGACAUGCAAAUUUGUGAAAUGUUCCAUAUUUUU
Loxodonta africana (African savanna elephant) is the source of this 107-nucleotide small nuclear RNA. The record is from Ensembl. Lineage: Eukaryota; Metazoa; Chordata; Mammalia; Proboscidea; Elephantidae.